GCAUUGGUGGUUCAGUGGUACAAUUGUUGCCUUCCAUGCGGGAGACCUGGGUUCAAUUCCCCGUCAGUGUA
RNAcentral lists this transfer RNA (71 nucleotides) under Loxodonta africana (African savanna elephant). It matches the Rfam family "tRNA". Rfam says of the family: Transfer RNA (tRNA) molecules are approximately 80 nucleotides in length. The record is from Rfam by way of RNAcentral. Lineage: Eukaryota; Metazoa; Chordata; Mammalia; Proboscidea; Elephantidae.